AAAAUUUUAGUUUAUAUUUUAAAAUAUUUCAUUUACACUGAAUUGAUUCUACAUUAUUAUAGAAAGUUUUA
Molecule: transfer RNA, 71 nt
Filed under: Eucera floralia
Lineage: Eukaryota; Metazoa; Arthropoda; Insecta; Hymenoptera; Apidae
Description: tRNA-Val
Source: RNAcentral